CUGAUUUGGUCUCGGCUCAUUGACCUGGGAUCCCAGGAACGCUUGCGCAUCCAGGACAGCCUCGACUCUGGAGCGGGGACCCUGCGCUGCUGCGGAAAGAUCAGCUGAGUAACUGAUUUUGAGCCUUCUCCAAGGUGUACAUGUGCUGUUGACUUGCUGAUGCAGUGGAGCUUUCAAAGAGGAGUCACAAGCUGACACCAAGGCAUGUGAUUGUUUCUUGCAUCAGAAAGACAAUACAGUAU
This 242-nucleotide long non-coding RNA is filed under the name Struthio camelus australis. RNAcentral describes it as "lncRNA (ENSSCUG00000010087.1)". The record is from RNAcentral. Lineage: Eukaryota; Metazoa; Chordata; Aves; Struthioniformes; Struthionidae.